UACGUAGGGUGCAAGCGUUGAUCGGAAUUACUGGGCGUAAAGCGUGCGCAGGCGGUCUUGCAAGACAGAUGUGAAAUCCCCGGGCUUAACCUGGGAACUGCAUUUGUGACUGCAAGGCUGGAGUACGGCAGAGGGGGAUGGAAUUCCGCGUGUAGCAGUGAAAUGCGUAGAUAUGCGGAGGAACACCGAUGGCGAAGGCAAUCCCCUGGGCCUGUACUGACGCUCAUGCACGAAAGCGUGGGGAGCAAACAGG
This 253-nucleotide ribosomal RNA is filed under the name uncultured bacterium. Its description in RNAcentral is "partial 16S ribosomal RNA". It matches the Rfam family "Bacterial small subunit ribosomal RNA", at positions 524 to 776 of the family's 1533-position model. The record is from RNAcentral.